RNAcentral lists this long non-coding RNA (284 nucleotides) under Lathyrus oleraceus (garden pea). RNAcentral describes it as "Pisum sativum (pea) long non-coding RNA (PSAT_LNC032074)". Lineage: Eukaryota; Viridiplantae; Streptophyta; Magnoliopsida; Fabales; Fabaceae. The record is from RNAcentral.
AAAAUCAUAAACAACAUAUAACUUUUAUCAACAAUAACAUACCAUAAACAACAUACAAGAUAGCUCAACAAAAACAAAAUCAUCAACAAUAUACAACUUUUAUCGUUGGCAAUAUACCCUAAACAAAAUAUAACUUUUAUCAACAACAACAUAACUUAAACAACAUACAACAUAGCUCAACAAAAACAAAAAAACUCAACAACAUAGAACUUUUAUCAUAAAAAACAUACCUUAAAAAACAUUGAAAUUUUAUCAUCAACAACAUACCCUAAACAACAUAAAAC